AGAGUUUGAUCAUGGCUCAGAUUGAACGCUGGCGGCAGGCCUAACACAUGCAAGUCGAACGGUAACAGGAAACAGCUUGCUGUUUCGCUGACGAGUGGCGGACGGGGGAGUAAUGUCUGGGAAACUGCCUGAUGGAGGGGGAUAACUACUGGAAACGGUAGCUAAUACCGCAUAAUGUCGCAAGACCAAAGAGGGGGACCUUCGGGCCUCUUGCCAUCGGAUGUGCCCAGAUGGGAUUAGCUAGUAGGUGGGGUAACGGCUCACCUAGGCGACGAUCCCUAGCUGGUCUGAGAGGAUGACCAGCCACACUGGAACUGAGACACGGUCCAGACUCCUACGGGAGGCAGCAGUGGGGAAUAUUGCACAAUGGGCGCAAGCCUGAUGCAGCCAUGCCGCGUGUAUGAAGAAGGCCUUCGGGUUGUAAAGUACUUUCAGCGGGGAGGAAGGGAGUAAAGUUAAUACCUUUGCUCAUUGACGUUACCCGCAGAAGAAGCACCGGCUAACUCCGUGCCAGCAGCCGCGGUAAUACGGAGGGUGCAAGCGUUAAUCGGAAUUACUGGGCGUAAAGCGCACGCAGGCGGUUUGUUAAGUCAGAUGUGAAAUCCCCGGGCUCAACCUGGGAACUGCAUCUGAUACUGGCAAGCUUGAGUCUCGUAGAGGGGGGUAGAAUUCCAGGUGUAGCGGUGAAAUGCGUAGAGAUCUGGAGGAAUACCGGUGGCGAAGGCGGCCCCCUGGACGAAGACUGACGCUCAGGUGCGAAAGCGUGGGGAGCAAACAGGAUUAGAUACCCUGGUAGUCCACGCCGUAAACGAUGUCGACUUGGAGGUUGUGCCCUUGAGGCGUGGCUUCCGGAGCUAACGCGUUAAGUCGACCGCCUGGGGAGUACGGCCGCAAGGUUAAAACUCAAAUGAAUUGACGGGGGCCCGCACAAGCGGUGGAGCAUGUGGUUUAAUUCGAUGCAACGCGAAGAACCUUACCUGGUCUUGACAUCCACAGAACUUUCCAGAGAUGGAUUGGUGCCUUCGGGAACUGUGAGACAGGUGCUGCAUGGCUGUCGUCAGCUCGUGUUGUGAAAUGUUGGGUUAAGUCCCGCAACGAGCGCAACCCUUAUCCUUUGUUGCCAGCGGUCCGGCCGGGAACUCAAAGGAGACUGCCAGUGAUAAACUGGAGGAAGGUGGGGAUGACGUCAAGUCAUCAUGGCCCUUACGACCAGGGCUACACACGUGCUACAAUGGCGCAUACAAAGAGAAGCGACCUCGCGAGAGCAAGCGGACCUCAUAAAGUGCGUCGUAGUCCGGAUUGGAGUCUGCAACUCGACUCCAUGAAGUCGGAAUCGCUAGUAAUCGUGGAUCAGAAUGCCACGGUGAAUACGUUCCCGGGCCUUGUACACACCGCCCGUCACACCAUGGGAGUGGGUUGCAAAAGAAUUAGGUAGCUUAACCUUCGGGAGGGCGCUUACCACUUUGUGAUUCAUGACUGGGGUGAAGUCGUAACAAGGUAACCGUAGGGGAACCUGCGGUUGGAUCACCU
RNAcentral lists this ribosomal RNA (1530 nucleotides) under Escherichia coli KTE69. Its description in RNAcentral is "bacterial SSU rRNA". It matches the Rfam family "Bacterial small subunit ribosomal RNA". Lineage: Bacteria; Pseudomonadati; Pseudomonadota; Gammaproteobacteria; Enterobacterales; Enterobacteriaceae. The record is from RNAcentral.